ACGAACGCUGGCGGCGUGCUUCACACAUGCAAGUCGAACGGAAAGGCCCUGCUUUCGUGGGGUGCUCGAGUGGCGAACGGGUGAGUAACACGUGAGUAACCUGCCCUUGACUUUGGGAUAACUUCAGGAAACUGGGGCUAAUACCGGAUAGGAGCUCCUGCUGCAUGGUGGGGGUUGGAAAGUUUCGGCGGUUGGGGAUGGACUCGCGGCUUAUCAGCUUGUUGGUGGGGUAGUGGCUUACCAAGGCUUUGACGGGUAGCCGGCCUGAGAGGGUGACCGGCCACAUUGGGACUGAGAUACGGCCCAGACUCCUACGGGAGGCAGCAGUGGGGAAUAUUGCACAAUGGGCGGAAGCCUGAUGCAGCAACGCCGCGUGCGGGAUGACGGCCUUCGGGUUGUAAACCGCUUUCGCCUGUGACGAAGCGUGAGUGACGGUAAUGGGUAAAGAAGCACCGGCUAACUACGUG
RNAcentral lists this ribosomal RNA (467 nucleotides) under uncultured bacterium. Its description in RNAcentral is "partial 16S ribosomal RNA". It matches the Rfam family "Bacterial small subunit ribosomal RNA", at positions 29 to 507 of the family's 1533-position model. The record is from RNAcentral.